UACGUAGGUGGCGAGCGUUGUCCGGAUUUACUGGGCGUAAAGAGCGCGCAGGCGGUCGUAUAAGUCGCGUGUGAAAGCCCCCGGCUCAACUGGGGAGGGUCACGCGAUACUGUUCGACUCGAAGGCAGGAGAGGGAAGUGGAAUUCCACGUGUAGCGGUGAAAUGCGUAGAGAUGUGGAGGAACACCGAUGGCGAAGGCAGCCUUCUGGGCCAACACUGACGCUCAUGCACGAAAGCGUGGGGAGCAAACAGG
RNAcentral lists this ribosomal RNA (253 nucleotides) under uncultured bacterium. RNAcentral describes it as "partial 16S ribosomal RNA". It matches the Rfam family "Bacterial small subunit ribosomal RNA", at positions 524 to 776 of the family's 1533-position model. The record is from RNAcentral.